AAGUUUUUCCUAGGCAAGAAGAUAGGACGCCAGACCCUUUCUUCAAACAGAGGCCUGCCAAUCCUGCAAGAAACCAUGAAACCACCCAAUGAGCUCACGUCCAGAGUCACUUGAUGGCCCCUGAAAGAAAAGAUGGAAGUGUCAAAGCCCUGUCUGACCUACAGGGUUUUCGGGGUUGCCUUCGUGGACGAUGAUAUGGCUGGAGGUUGGACCCCUUCGGUGAGGACCUUGAAAGUGAUACAUAUGUCAAAUGCUUGGCACAGGGCAGGGACACAGGAAGUACUGCGACCUGUGUGGUGUCCACUCGGUUUUGGAUGACUCUUGUGCGCAUGCGCAUUGUCUCCCACUCUGGACUGGGUGUUUCCUGAAUGUGGGUGUGACCACGUCAGCCUGGGAGUUAUGUUUUGUCUCCUCAGCCCAUUAGA
This is a long non-coding RNA of Neogale vison (American mink), 425 nucleotides long. RefSeq lists it as uncharacterized. NCBI's taxonomy places the organism in Eukaryota, Metazoa, Chordata, Mammalia, Carnivora, Mustelidae. The record is from RefSeq and is a predicted model, not a curated record. The transcript is spliced from 3 exons.